This 127-nucleotide small nucleolar RNA is filed under the name Castor canadensis (American beaver). Lineage: Eukaryota; Metazoa; Chordata; Mammalia; Rodentia; Castoridae. The record is from RNAcentral.
GUGUACAUUUCAUUAUCUUUUUUUCUUUAUAUCAAGAAAAAAGUAUUUCUGGUGCUAAACAAACCUUUGGAGGUAAAUUAGCAGCAAGACUAAUUCAGCCACUGCUGUCAGUCACCUUCAUACAAAU